UACGUAGGAGGCAAGCGUUGUCCGGAAUUACUGGGCGUAAAGCGCGUGUAGGUGGUGGGACAAGUCUGCUGUGAAAGCGCCUGGCUUAACCGGGCGAGGUCGGCGGAAACUGUCCGACUCGAGGACGGUAGAGGGGGGUGGAAUCCCCGGUGUAGUGGUGAAAUGCGUAGAGAUCGGGAGGAACACCUGUGGCGAAGGCGGCCCCCUGGGCCGGCCCUGACACUGAUGCGCGACAGCAUGGGGAGCAAACAGG
Molecule: ribosomal RNA, 253 nt
Filed under: uncultured bacterium
Lineage: Bacteria
Description: partial 16S ribosomal RNA
Rfam family: Bacterial small subunit ribosomal RNA
Source: RNAcentral